GAUUAUGGCUCAGGAUGAACGCUGGCGGCGCGCUUAACACAUGCAAGUCGAACGGUUAAAGCACCUCCGGGUGUGCAUAAAGUGGCGAACGGCUGAGUAACACGUGGGCAACCUGCCCCCCGCACCGGGAUAGCCUCGGGAAACCGUGGGUAAUACCGGAUACUCCGCCACCCCCGCAUGGGGAGCGGGAAAGCACUUACGGCGGGGAUGGGCCCGCGGCCUGUUAGCUCGUUGGCGGGGUAACGGCCCACCAAGGCGAUUAUGGGUAGCCGGGUUGAGAGACCGACCGGCCAGAUUGGGACUGAGACACGGCCCAGACUCCUACGGGAGGCAGCAGUGGGGAAUCUUGCACAAUGGGCGAAAGCCUGAUGCCAGCGACGCCGCGUGCGGGACGAAGGCCUUCGGGUUGUAAACCGCUUUCAGCAGGGACGAGGCGCAAGUGACGGUACCUGCAGAAGAAGCCCCGGCUAACUACGUGCCAGCCGCCGC
Molecule: ribosomal RNA, 489 nt
Filed under: uncultured bacterium
Lineage: Bacteria
Description: bacterial SSU rRNA
Rfam family: Bacterial small subunit ribosomal RNA
Source: RNAcentral